ACGGACUCGACCCGUUCUUCUCGUUCAGAGCCGUAAGUGCUUCCAUUAUCAUCUGAAAGUAUGGAGGAUGAGCGGCGGUUUUGGUUUUGGGUUUUGAAGACCUGCAUAGUUUCAAAAAUUGGGGAUAUGAAAUUCGAAAGAAAUUAAGGAUUUGAGAGAAAUUUGGGGACAAUGGGAGAGAAUUGUUCAGAAAUAGGGGGGAUUAGUUCUUUCUCUUGAUACCUCUUCCAGGUGCAACCAAAGACGAAGUCCCACAUGGCGGAGCAGUGGCAAUGCCUACAAGCCUACUUGUAUGCGACACCACAGGUUCAGUGCUUGCAUCAUCUUCUUUGCACUGCUUCUUCAACCUUGUAAAAUCUUCUAGAGAAUAAUGCGAUGUAAGGGCUGAUGAUCUAGAAUUGCAUGACUUCGAUGUCACAUCUUCCGCCUGUGAUGUCACAUUUUCCAAUGGAUCUGGGCACGGGUCAGCCGCCUUUCUUCUUCUUCCUCAUCAAUUCAGAGUAACAAGCUACCAAUAUCCGUCACAUUUCAGAGUUGUUCAGAAAUAGGGGGAUUGUUUCUUUCUCUGUUUAUUGCUUCAAAUGACAGAAAAUACCCAUGUUCUUUCUUUCCGGGUUUUCUUGAAUCUGCUGUGAAAAGAUCCAAGCAUUCAUGAAGAGCAUUUUCAGCUGCAACAUAAAUUUCAGCAAGCCUCAUAUGUUGAUCAAUUGAGCUCUCAGAAAUUUCUGGUGAAGAGUUAAGAUUAUAUAAGGGAUUGGAGAGAAUGGAGUUUCUUGCGGCUUCUUUGAAGGGCAAGUGGGAGAUGAUGAUCAGAAGCAGAGGUUUGGGUAACUUUGAGAGAGAAGAAGAGAUUUCUUGUGGUGCAAUUUUCGAGGGGAGAGGCGGUUAUUGGCACCCAGUGGUAUUCAUUUGUUUAGGUUCUUGCAGCAUUGAAGACAUCUUGGUCUUGCAGUUUCAUAUCCGUUUCAAAACUCUAGCUAGUUCAAACUUCACUUGGCUACACCAAGUUCAGUUUGAAGGGGGAGUAAUAACAGAAAUGUUUAGUAUAAUAACAGAAAUGCCACAUGGCACUAUUAUAGUAGUGGAGUUUGUUAGUAUAAUUAGAUAUUGUAAUUGAGAUACAUGGCUAUAUAAAGGAUUGUAUAGCUAUCAUUUCCUUAAGUUCAUUUGUAUACAUUUUCUCUAAUCAAUCAAUACAAUCUUGUUUGUUUCUCUCUA
Long non-coding RNA from Malus domestica (apple), 1218 nucleotides. RefSeq lists it as uncharacterized. The record is from RefSeq and is a predicted model, not a curated record. NCBI's taxonomy places the organism in Eukaryota, Viridiplantae, Streptophyta, Magnoliopsida, Rosales, Rosaceae.